GCCCUUAGAGUUUGAUCAUGGCUCAGGACGAACGCUGGCGGCGGGCUUAACACAUGCAAGUCUAAGGCGAGGCCGACCUUCGGGUUGGUAGUAGACUGGCGCACGGGUGCGUAACGCGUAGACAAUCUGCCUAAAGGAGGGGGAUAACCCCGAGAAAUCGGGGCUAAUACCCCAUGAUGCAGCGGGGCCGCAUGGCCACAGUUGUUAAAACCCUUCGGGGGCCUUUAGAUGAGUCUGCGUCGCAUUAGUUAGUUGGUAGGGUAACGGCCUACCAAGGCGAUGAUGCGUAGGGGGUCUGAGAGGAUGAUCCCCCACACGGGCACUGAGACACGGGCCCGACUCCUACGGGAGGCAGCAGUGAGGAAUCUUGCGCAAUGGGCGAAAGCCUGACGCAGCCACGCCGCGUGCCGGAAGACGGUCCUAUGGAUUGUAAACGGCUUUUGAUCGGGAAGAAGGUACGGGUUUCGACCUGUAUUGACGGUACCGGUUGAAUAAGCACCGGCUAACUCCGUGCCAGCAGCCGCGGUAA
This 529-nucleotide ribosomal RNA is filed under the name uncultured Bacteroidota bacterium. Its description in RNAcentral is "bacterial SSU rRNA". It matches the Rfam family "Bacterial small subunit ribosomal RNA", at positions 1 to 523 of the family's 1533-position model. Lineage: Bacteria; Pseudomonadati; Bacteroidota. The record is from RNAcentral.